Molecule: small nuclear RNA, 2036 nt
Filed under: Marmota monax (woodchuck)
Lineage: Eukaryota; Metazoa; Chordata; Mammalia; Rodentia; Sciuridae
Rfam family: U1 spliceosomal RNA (bases 41-204)
Source: RNAcentral
GCUGGCGCCAGGGUGUGGGUCGAGGGUUGGCUACCAACUCAUACUUACCUGGCAGGGGAGAUACCAUGAUCACGAAGGUGGUUUUCCCAGGGCGAGGCUUAUCCAUUGCACUCCGGAUGUGCUGACCCCUGCGAUUUCCCCAAAUGUGGGAAACUCGACUGCAUAAUUUGUGGUAGUGGGGGACUGCGUUCGCGCUCUCCCCUGGUUAUUCUUUGUUUUAAAAGCUGACUUUUAGAUCUUGGUCUUGUUUUUUUUUUUUCCUGUUUGCGGUUCUCUUUUUUUUUUGCUUCACGUAGGGUCUCACUGUGGACUGUGGUUAAGUUGUUCUUCGCACUCCUCGUGCGCCAUGUGGAUCCCAGUGCCUUGGGAAGCUGAGGAGGAGGAUCGCGAGUUCAAAGGUCACCUCAGCAGUAUGGUGAGACGCUGUGUCCAAGCAAAAUGCGAAGUAGGGCUGGGGUUCAGCGGCUGUGUACCCCUGGGGUUCAAUCUUCGGUACCCAAGGACGAGUAAGUGAAGAUGGCUGUAGUCAUCCAAGCAGUGAACAGACGCUGCUAGGAUUUAGUCCUCCCGGGAGGCCGAGUUCAUAGGAGCUGCUGCCUCCGUCCAGGGUGAAGUCCUUGCUUUCCCAGAAGCAGGCGGGUGCUGGGCUGGUUGGCAGCAGGGUGGGUGUUCUGCGAGGCCUGGCACGGCGUCAUCCCACUCCCCUGGCGAUCAGCGAAAGAAUACAGGACUUGUCUUUUCUUCAGUGGACUGGGGAACGCCUUCCAUGAAAACCGGAAGGAGAGAAUCUUUCUGCCUUUGAGCAGGAUGAGUGGGGGCAACAUUAACAUGGGACUUUCUUCUGUUUUUACCUUCCCAAUCCCUUUAAUCUAUGGGUAACCAUUUCUUAGUCAUAUUCCUGUUCAUCCUUGUCUAAAUGGCACUUUCUUCUGCAUCUAUUGUGUAGGUGGCUUCCUUCUACUUCUGUUUAUCUCUGAGUUAUGUAUUUUUUUAAAAAAUAUUUUUAGUUGGACACAAUACCUUUGUUUUUAUGUGGUGCGGCGGAUUGAACCCAGUGCCUCACGCAUGCUAGGCAAGCGCUCUGCCACUGAGCCAUAAUCCUGGCCCCAUCUGAGUUAUCUUUUUUUAUUGUCGGUGGCAAGUUGACUGGACUCAGGUCCUGAUGAAUCUUGCAGUUUCUGCAGAGUAUCCAGUGGAUUGGCUAUCCCCCCCAUCCCCCCCCCCCCCAGAUUUUAUCUGCAAGUCGGAGUUUGGCUUAAAGGUGUACUUGGUACCCUCAAGUUAGUCAUGCCACAGAGUUUACACCUGACAUGGCAGAGCAGCCUUGGGGAGUGGUGAAUAAUCUGAACAGCUGCAACAGUCCUAAACUGCUAUCCUUGACUUUCUGCCUAAACUUCUUGUUUUAAAUACCUGUAGUCGAGGUUAUAUUCUUGCCAGCCUCCAAUUUUUACACUGCAGGUCAUUUUAAGGGGAAAGGAUGGUGAAAGGGUAAAGUUUCUAAGCUGCUUCUAAACUGCAAAGCCUGAGUUAAAAUGUAAAAGACCGGGCAUUGUAAAGUUCCUAAGCUGCAAGGCCUGAGUUAAAAAGUGAAGGACUAGGUAUUAUUAAGUUCUUCUGCUACACCCAGAACCUGAAAUUCCUGAGGCAGUUAAGACAACGCCCUACUGGCCAUUUAGUUGAUUAAUAGCCUAGGGCCCUGUGCGAUCUUGCAGGUAGGCAUCACAGGGCCUAAACCAAUCAGUUUGAAUGUGUACCCUGCUUAGGAGUAAUCAAUCACCCCCGCCGGACCUGUUCCCGCCAAUGAAUGAACUAAUCAUGUUUAGGAAUUGUUGUUUGAUUUUCCCGCGGUGUAUGAUGAUUUGUUAAAGGAAACUGUGAUGUAUGUAAAGUCCCCGCCCUCCCCAAGAAGUGUACUUAAGCAGUGCUCAGCCCCUGCUCUGGGCUGCUCUCCUUUCUUGAGUGAGCACGGAUCCCCAGCGCGCUGGAUUGGAUCCUCAAUAAAUAAAUCCCCUUCUGCAAUUGCAUGAGUCAGUCUC